This 524-nucleotide ribosomal RNA is filed under the name uncultured bacterium. Its description in RNAcentral is "bacterial SSU rRNA". It matches the Rfam family "Bacterial small subunit ribosomal RNA", at positions 777 to 1301 of the family's 1533-position model. The record is from RNAcentral.
AAUAGAUACCCCGGUAGUCCACGCCGUAAACGAUGAGUGCUAAGUGUUAGGGGGUUUCCGCCCCUUAGUGCUGCAGCUAACGCAUUAAGCACUCCGCCUGGGGAGUACGGUCGCAAGACUGAAACUCAAAGGAAUUGACGGGGGCCCGCACAAGCGGUGGAGCAUGUGGUUUAAUUCGAAGCAACGCGAAGAACCUUACCAGGUCUUGACAUCCUCUGACAACCCUAGAGAUAGGGCUUUCCCUUCGGGGACAGAGUGACAGGUGGUGCAUGGUUGUCGUCAGCUCGUGUCGUGAGAUGUUGGGUUAAGUCCCGCAACGAGCGCAACCCUUGAUCUUAGUUGCCAGCAUUCAGUUGGGCACUCUAAGGUGACUGCCGGUGACAAACCGGAGGAAGGUGGGGAUGACGUCAAAUCAUCAUGCCCCUUAUGACCUGGGCUGCACACGUGCUACAAUGGACAGAACAAAGGGCUGCGAGACCGCAAGGUUUAGCCAAUCCCACAAAUCUGUUCUCAGUUCGGAUCGC